This 71-nucleotide transfer RNA is filed under the name archaeon. Its description in RNAcentral is "tRNA-Cys". It matches the Rfam family "tRNA". From Rfam's summary of the family: Transfer RNA (tRNA) molecules are approximately 80 nucleotides in length. Their secondary structure includes four short double-helical elements and three loops (D, anti-codon, and T loops). The record is from RNAcentral. RNAcentral also lists the same sequence under 1 other name.
GCAGGUGUGGCAGAGUAGCUAUGCAGCGGCCUGCAAAGCCGUGGACCAGGGUGCAAAUCCCUGUACCUGCU